GACGAACGCUGGCGGCGUGCUUAACACAUGCAAGUCGAGCGGUAAGGCCCUUUCGGGGGUACACGAGCGGCGAACGGGUGAGUAACACGUGGGUGACCUGCCCUCAGCUCUGGGAUAAGCCUGGGAAACUGGGUCUAAUACUGGAUAUGACUCCACGGUGCAUGUCGUGGGGUGGAAAGCCUUGUGCGGCUGAGGAUGGGCCCGCGGCCUAUCAGCUUGUUGGUGGGGUGANGGCCUACCAAGGCGACGACGGGUAGCCGGCCUGAGAGGGCGACCGGCCACACUGGGACUGAGACACGGCCCAGACUCCUACGGGAGGCAGCAGUGGGGAAUAUUGGACAAUGGGGGAAACCCUGAUCCAGCGACGCCGCGUGGGUGAAGAAGGCCUGCGGGUUGUAAAGCCCUUUCAGUGGGAAGAAAGCCUCGACCUAACACGUCGGGGUCUUGACGUAACCCAUAGAAGAAGCACCGGCUAACUCUGUGCCAGCCGCCGCGGU
This 497-nucleotide ribosomal RNA is filed under the name uncultured bacterium. Its description in RNAcentral is "bacterial SSU rRNA". It matches the Rfam family "Bacterial small subunit ribosomal RNA", at positions 28 to 521 of the family's 1533-position model. The record is from RNAcentral.